ACCAUGGAUACCAUAGAUACCAACCCAGUACAGCAUAUAGAUUUUUUUUUUCAUUUUAUCCGUGUUACUAAGGUAUAUUGGUAUACAAUUUACACGUUUGUUUUAAUUAUUUACUUUAUCGAAUUAAAUCGAUGCCUAAAUCCUGCUCUGUGAUAUCCUCUUUAACUUAAAAAAAAAAAGCUGCACGACGGUUGAAUAAGUAGUUUUGAAGCCAACCCGUAACAAAGAUAUACAUUUUCGCUUUUAUAUAUAUAGAUAAA
This is a non-coding RNA of Cinara cedri, 260 nucleotides long. Lineage: Eukaryota; Metazoa; Arthropoda; Insecta; Hemiptera; Aphididae. The record is from the annotation of a GenBank genome assembly.